Fundulus heteroclitus (mummichog) is the source of this 955-nucleotide long non-coding RNA. RefSeq lists it as uncharacterized. The record is from RefSeq and is a predicted model, not a curated record. The transcript has 3 exons. Lineage: Eukaryota; Metazoa; Chordata; Actinopteri; Cyprinodontiformes; Fundulidae.
GCAAAUUAAGCUCCUCAUCUCGACGAUUUAAUAUCAUGAACAGUUGUCUCCAGUGAGAGACAACGUGUUUUAAUAACGGUGAUUUACAACCGAACGGCACUUUUUUAAUUUGUGACACUUUGCCAUGUCGAGACAACUCUUUAAUCAAAAACUCAUCACUAAUAAAUGGAGGGACGUUUGACAAUGUUACCUUAGUUGCAGGUAAGGUAAGCGGCGAGACUUGUAAAAACAAACCAUCUACAGAAAUGCCCGUUUCCACUAACUGUUGAGCCUGCUCCACUUUUUCAACAAACAAAACUACAGCUCCAUUCAUUCGCGCUGCUGACUUAAUAAAUCCAUGCCCAAUUACCUCACCCACAGCCAGACAAACGUCUUCCACACUGCACGGAGAACCAGCACCCACCUUGAUGCUGUUCUUCCGUGUCAGCAUGGAGAAAACACCAGAGCCACCACCCACCACCAUGGCGUUCAAGACGCCAACCUGCCGCCGGGCAAAACCCGACGGCCACCAAACCCCACAAACCCUACCAAAAAAAACCUAAAGCACAACAAAACACCUAUAUAUACAAUAUUUACAUACACCCAGUGAAAGAUAGAAAAAAGUAGGGAAAAAAAACACUCAAACAGAUUCAACUCACGCUCUCUCCCUUCUCUUUCACUCACACUCCUCCCACACGAAGAAGAAGAAGAAGAAGAAGAAGAAGAAGAAGAAGAAGAAGAAGAAGAAGUAAAAAAAAACGUGCUGAGCGCUCCGCUCCUGUGUUCAUGUCCUCUUCUGAGCCUGAAGAUGAAAUAAAACCACAACAGCUGUACGCCGUCUUCACAACUCGGAGACAAAUUGCAGGCGCUAUGAACCGGACCAAGGACUAUUCUCGCCUCAUAAUGAGGUGGUGACCUCCUAUUUGCUCGGAGCAAUAGCUGCAAGUCCAGAUUGUUGAUAAAGACGACAUUGUGU